Molecule: long non-coding RNA, 483 nt
Filed under: Homo sapiens (human)
Lineage: Eukaryota; Metazoa; Chordata; Mammalia; Primates; Hominidae
Description: HSALNT0373609
Source: RNAcentral
UUUAAAGGAAAGGCUAGCAUGGACAAGAAGAGCACUCCCUGCUUCUAGUGAGCAAAGGCAGCCCCCCUUGAGCUUCUAUAGCCCUUCUUAUUUAUUGGGUAACAAGAGCAAGGAGGAGGAGAUGGAGUCUCACUCUGUCCCAGGCUGGAGUGCAAUGGUGUGUCCUCGGCUCACUGCAAGCUCCACCUCCUGGGUUCAAGGGAUUCUCCUGCCUCAGCCUUUCCAGUAGCUGGGAUUACAGCCCUGCCGCACCCCGCCCCCUUCUGCCACCACCAAGUGAUCAUCCAGCUGACACUUGAGGAACUUUGAUGAUGAGGAGUUCAUCAGUCAUUGGUCAGACUAUUAAAUCUUUCCACAGCUUAGUGAGUUUAUUAUAGUUUUCUUGAUGCAUAAUUCUGCCUGCUACAGAGAUAGAAUUACUUAAGGAUGUUUGAAAUACAGGUAUACCUCAGAGAUACUGCAGGUUUGGUUCCAGACCACCAU